UUGUGGAUAACAUUGUAAUGGUAACGUUAAGCAAUAAUGUUUUUACCAUUUUCAUAACCAAUCAAAGGUAAGUCAGCCAGCUUUCAUCAGCCUUAUUCAAACAAGUUACUGUAUUAACUACCUGUUAAUGCCACAUUCCACUUCCUGCCUUCAACAUGUCUGUUAGCGCUCUUGUGCAUCUCGUAAUGUCUGUAUCGGGAGACAGCUAUAGAGUAAGCUGCCCUAAAUAUACUCGAGGAAAAAAAAACUUCCAGAACAUUCUAAAAAGCCCAACUGAAAUUUACCGAGCACUGUUCGCCAGAGAGACUGACAGAUAAUAAUAUUUUCUAUAUUUAUAAUUACAUUUUCUAUAUGUCCUUGUAUUUGAAAUAUCCUGUUUUAUCAUAUGUGUUUUUCUACCGAACAUGUACAAACUUAUUUUUCUCGUAUUUAUUCUCUAAACAAUACGGUAUACCAACUAUUUACAAAAUAAAUGGGGAACUACCGCACUAAAUUGAGAAGAACAGGGUGUGUAGAUGUUGGUAUAAAUGGAAACAAACAAGGUGUUCCAGGAAUGGCAUUUGAAGGCCGCAGAAGGUCAGAGAGGUUCGAGGUGAAUUAUUUACCAGGUCUCCCAGAUGGGCAGAAUGAAGAGAGCAUGGAGGCUGAGAGGACAGCCCUGGCUGAAGAAAUGAGAAAAAUGAACCGCAGUGCAACUGCCAUUGCAUCAAAGAUGGAGCAGAGCUUCCCACUGCAUAGACGGGAGAUUGUAGAGACUGGAGCCCCAGUGCAGGCAGUGAUGGAGAGGUGGCCAGCUCUUUCUACCGAAAAACAAAAGCCAGAUGUGACAGCAAUGAGGUUUCUUGUUCUCUAAAGCCUCCCUGUUCUACUUGGCGAUGAACCUGAUGACUUUUACAAGACUUGCUUUGAUUCAGAGAAUGAAGAGGCCUUCACUCAGAUGUUUGUAAGGGUGCUGACUUUAAUCAGUGAAGAUACACCUCAAUGCUCUCCAGAUCAGCUCCAUCCUUGGUGCAGUCGAGACUGCAGUCGUUGUUGAGGGAAAGAUUGUAAUGGGUGAUCUCUACAACCUUCCACACUUUGUCUCCUGUUUGGCCUGUCGUAUUCCUUGCAUUUAGAGUAUCCCAAGUCCAUGAAAAAUACUUUCAGCUUCAUUCAAAAAGUACUGCUUGGUUUGGGACAGAACAAGCUUUCGCCAAAACUGCAGACACUAAAAAAUGUCCUUUUGAGUUAGAUUUUCAUGUCGUUAUGGCCAUCUGAUUUACAAAUACAACCAAAACCCUGAUUUAAUUUUCAUUAUGGUGUACCAGGGAUGUACAAGAAUUCUGCGAUUCAGAAUGUUUUAUUUGAUUUGUUUAAAUGAUUUCGAACUGUUUUAAUAUGAUUUUCUUUGGGCAAUGUCUACAUGACUGUGCACUUUGAUAUCUUAUUUUUGAUGCCAUGAAGGACUACUUGAUAAUUACAGGGCAAGACAUUAUUUAUUAUUUUCACAAGAUGGCAAUGUGACAGACGUGAUCAAACGACAGAUUUGGUUUUUUUUUGCAUACUAGAAUAUACUGAAGGCAACAGCUGAAAUUGAAUAAAUAAUAUCAGGAAAAGUGGAAAUUAUUGCUCAUCUUUAUUUAAAAUUGUAUUUUUUUCUAUUAAAUUGGAUGCCGUGUGGUUGGAUGUAAACAGUAAGGGAAAAAUAAAUGGAGUUAUCUGUACCUGUCUCACUGUUUUAAUUCUUGGUUUAGGAUAAAAACAUGUUGAUGUUUAUUGUAGGAAUAUGAAAUCUGUUUUGUGUAGUACUGAAAUCACACCAGAAAACUUUACUUGGUCUUUUUAAUCAAUUAAAUCAAUCGGUUAACAUCGUUUUACCAAGUGAAUCUGAUUUCUAGUUUGAGUAAAUUGAACUAGAAAUACUGAGUAAUAGUUAAUACUACUUUAGUUAGUCCAACUUGAAGAAAUAUGUGAUUUGAAAUACAUUUGCAGUUUGCUUUACUGUACUUCAAAAUAAUGUGACCCCGUGGAGGUGUAGUAAACUUGUGAAAUAUUGGUCAUUAUAACAAACAAAUCCUAGUCCACAUUACUUGAGCUGAAUAAGUACAUUUACUAAAACUUUUCAAGGCAAUCGGUUUGCAUGCUUUUUUAAGUAAAGUCAACUAAUUGCAUUUUACAGUGUCAUGGGCUUGCCCGUAGUCUCUCCUUCCCUCUUUCUCUCUCUCUGCCUGUUCCUCUCCUGCCUACAGGGGGCGCUAUGACAUCAAGAAGCCCCUUUUGCUGGAAGGUCAUAAAAGUCAGCAAGAGGAGCCUGAAAAGGGAGAGGAGAGAUAUUUUUGUGCUGGCCUUUUUGUUAUCUCUCUGUGGGGCUGGGUACUAUUGUGAUAUAUUUUUUUCAUUGUGAUACUGUUUUUUCCGUUUGUAUGGUUGUGUUUGUAUACCACUGCUGGAAGGGGGUAUGCGCCAUUUUCUUUGGUUGCCUCCUUUGUACCUGUUUUGGUGUAGUCAGGGAGAUAAGGGAGGGUAGCUGUAAGUGUUUUUACUUUAUUUUGGUAGGUAAGUGUAGUGUGUGUUGGGUGGAGGCAGUUUGGGGUUUCUCUUUGUUAUCUUGGCCGGCUUGCCCCUGGAGAGAUGG
Brienomyrus brachyistius is the source of this 2614-nucleotide long non-coding RNA. RefSeq lists it as uncharacterized. Lineage: Eukaryota; Metazoa; Chordata; Actinopteri; Osteoglossiformes; Mormyridae. The record is from RefSeq and is a predicted model, not a curated record. The transcript is spliced from 3 exons.